RNAcentral lists this ribosomal RNA (497 nucleotides) under uncultured bacterium. RNAcentral describes it as "partial 16S ribosomal RNA". It matches the Rfam family "Bacterial small subunit ribosomal RNA", at positions 28 to 507 of the family's 1533-position model. The record is from RNAcentral.
GAUGAACGCUGGCGGCGUGCCUAAUACAUGCAAGUCGAGCGAACGGACGAGAAGCUUGCUUCUCUGACGUUAGCGGCGGACGGGUGUGUAACACGUGGAUAGCCUACCUAUAAGACUGGGAUAACUUCGGGAAACCGGAGCUAAUACCGGAUAAUAUUUUGAACCGCAUGGUUCAAAAGUGAAAGACGGUCUUGCUGUCACUUAUAGCUGGAUCCGCGCUGCAUUAGCUAGUUGGUAAGGUAACGGCUUACCAAGGCAACGAUGCAUAGCCGACCUGAGAGGGUGAUCGGCCACACUGGAACUGAGACACGGUCCAGACUCCUACGGGAGGCAGCAGUAGGGAAUCUUCCGCAAUGGGCGAAAGCCUGACGGAGCAACGCCGCGUGAGUGAUGAAGGUCUUCGGAUCGUAAAACUCUGUUAUUAGGGAAGAACAUAUGUGUAAGUAACUGUGCACAUCUUGACGGUACCUAAUCAGAAAGCCACGGCUAACUACGUG